RNAcentral lists this long non-coding RNA (203 nucleotides) under Citrus sinensis (sweet orange). RNAcentral's name for it is "long non-coding RNA (CSIN_LNC003507)". Lineage: Eukaryota; Viridiplantae; Streptophyta; Magnoliopsida; Sapindales; Rutaceae. The record is from RNAcentral.
GGAAGUUGUCCACGAUGGUGGCAUUACGUGUGCCAUCGUAUGUGUCGGGCUUUGGCACGUCAAUGCGGCGCGCAUCACUCGAGUUUGCAGAAGCUGGACUUGCGGAGAGUGUGCGCUUGUGCCAUGCCCAAUCCGAGCGGACUUCAUCCACUUCCGCACGGACAGCGCGUAGUUCAUCCUGAACAAAACUACGAAGUUUGAGC